CAUUCCACGUCUGGAGAAGUAGAAUAUUAUGUGGUGCUCCCGGACUUUUGCACUUGCUCUAUGGCAAUUAUACCUUGUGUCCGUUGUAUUAUCCUAGCACGUAGCGUUUUAAUACAUGUACUUUCACAUUUGUGGUAUUUUUGUUUGGGACCCCGAUAUGCCUGAGGCUAUACAGGGAUUUUAGGUAGUAUUGACGGCAUGCUCGGGCUUGCGCAGACCCAUUCCUACCUUAUGUCUCAUACCCGUUUUGUUUUGUCUUUGUCGUACCACUUAUUAUUGAGGGUUGGCCA
RNAcentral lists this long non-coding RNA (290 nucleotides) under Brassica napus (rape). Its description in RNAcentral is "long non-coding RNA (BNAP_LNC025226)". The record is from RNAcentral. Lineage: Eukaryota; Viridiplantae; Streptophyta; Magnoliopsida; Brassicales; Brassicaceae.